GCCCCUCCCGCCCGGCUCGCCCGCUCGCUCGGGCUCGGCGCGGACCCGCCUGGGCGUGCUCCUCCCGCCGGCUCCAGGCGUCCCACCGCCCUGACUCCUGCGGGCGCGCCGGGCACCCAGCGCGGAGGCUCGCCCGCGGAGGUCGCCAAGGAAGUCUGGACCGCCUAGGCGUGUGGCUCGUCUACAGGCAGGUGUUCUUUCGAUCACAAUGGAUAGUGACUCUUCUCUUCUGCCUGAGUGGUUCAAAAUAAUGAAGGAUGAGAUUGGACUUCUCAGUUUGUGUCCAGAACAAGGAUGGAGAGGCUCAGCAGCACCGACAGGACCUCCUCAUGAAAUGGAAGCACAUCCAGGCUGGAGGCCCCUGUGUUCCAGGUGCUGUGUCGGUGCUGACUUGCCCAGUGACUCCAUGAUGGCUUCUGUCCUCGAGGUCACCAUUGACUGAGACAGACUGAGAGGUAAAUGGUAAUGGAAGGACACAAAAGGUACAAGAGUCAGAGGCCAGGCCAAGAGUGCAAGCUGAGCAAGGGGCAAGGAAGGCCUCCCUGAUGGCUGGCUCCAGAACUGGGACUGCAGAAAGAGGAGUUUUCUGGAUAGAAAGGGAUGUGGACCUUCCAGUCAGGUUCAAAUCCACAGAAGCAUGUACACGUGGUAUGCUAGGGGGGCACCACUGCACCACCGGGCAGGCGCAGGCUAGAAAAGAGGCUGCAGGAUCUGGGACUCACUCUAUCCUGGGGCAAUACGGAGUUUAGGAGAGGGUGAGUCAUAUUAGCAUGGAGUUAGCCUGGAGUCAGGAAGAUGAGUUAGGAGGUCUGACAGUCGAUUGAAGUAAAAUUAUUCAUUACAGAACAGCACUGUGUAUGUCCCUAAAAUACUAGGUGCCAUAUUUAUUCUCUUGAGGGAUUCAUCUGAGCAGUUAGAAAAGAAUAGCUGGGCCAUUGAGUCUUGGUUGAAAUGAUCCAUUCAUCCAACCAGUAUUCAUCAAGUAUCUCCCACAUGGCCAACGCGGGGGACCCAGGGAUUAGGCUGGAGUCAAGUGGAGAAGACUUCACUCUCAUGCCCUGAGAAGUGCUUUGAAGGAAGAGGAUCAGAUACCUGUAAAGCAUGUGACAGAGGAGUCAGGUCUGGUCUGGGGUUAGGGGUCCAGGAAGUGACUGGAGUUGAAGCCUGAAGGAGUUGGUAUUCAAAAUGCAGAACAGGGAAAGAGGCAUUCCAGGCAGAGGAAGCAGCUUGCAUGAGGGCCCUGGGGUGGGAGGGAGCAUGGUUCAUAUGAGAAGUUAAAAAAGCACAGAGAGAAAGGAGGAGAAGAGGGAGGCUUAGGGGAGGAAGGGGUGUGAGGUUUUGCCAUGCCUGGGCCUACCCUUUAAGGUGCCAAGUCCUUGAAGCAUUUAAAGAUAAAACAUGAUGGCCAUUUGUUGAUGAUUUAUUGAUCUCUCUGUAUCCUCCUGGGCACUGGUGGAUGCUCAACAAAACCAAAAGUAGAGUUGGCUACAGAUGGCGUCUGUUCAUGGCCUCAGCUUCUCACCUAUUCCUGAGUCACCUUUUGCCCCUCUGACACAGGGAUGGGAUAAUGCCAGGAUAUGGGUUUGUGUUGUUUAACUUACUGGAGUUUGUACAGGUUUUACCUGGUGCCAGCAUGACCUUCCCAUGUACUCUCUUGGUCAGCAAUUCACAGUCUCCUUGCUUUAUUUUACAAGGAGCUAAUCCUGCUUUCUGGAACUUGCUCAUUCUCAAAGUGAGUGGUGGUUGGUCCCCAAGACAGUCUACAGAAAUUCCAGAAUUUCAGGUCUCUACCUAAUGCUUGGAAAACCAACCAUUAGUCAACACCAAUGCUCAUCAAAUAUGCACAUUUAUGUAGUAUUUUCUGCAUGCCCAGUUUUCUGAUCUUAUUAUUAUACUCUUUUGCAGAUAAUAAAAUCGAGGCCCAGAAAGGUUCAGUGGUUUGCCCUAGAAACACAGGUAGGAAGAAUUAGAGUCAGAGUGCAUACCCAGACCCACCUGUUUCCAAAGUCCCAGCACUUAACCAUGGUGCCACACAACUGCCCACUCAUCUACACUGCAUGUCCAGAGAACAGUCUCCCAGCCUGCAGGGCCGGAGGUGUGGACUUAGCAUUUGCUCCGGGCUCACCUUCACAGAUGAGCAAUCUGAACAGGAGAGGCACCUGGACUUGUCCACGUCCACCAGGGAAAGGCAGCUACGCUGGAGCUGUGUCCCCUCUCCACCCUGGCUCCUCCUGCUGCUCAUUGACUGCGUGAGUGCCUUCAUCCUACAGAACUUCCCAUUCCUGACCCAGUGAGGAGAGAUAGAUGAUGACCCUCAUGGAGUGUGAUAAAGAUUCAAGUAUUUCAGGAGUGUGAAAUACCUAGAAUGUCUGGCACUUCUGCCUCAGUACACAGUAGCUGACAUCUGGUCGCAUGUCCUUCCUGGGAACCUGGCAGGAAGAACCUGGCCUGGGAACCUAGCUUCCCAGCCUGGGAUUCUGUGGGCCACAGAGGCCCGGUGUAGAGAUUAUAGCCUAACAUCCCAGCAGAGAUUCUUUGAUUGCAGAUAGGAAAAUCCAGACAUUUCUGAACUCCAAGGCCACGGUGAUUCACAUGACCUGGUGAUUAUGAUUGAUGAAUUACUCAAAGUUUCUGCUUCCCCCAACUCUCCGACUCUGGCAAGAACUUUGGCAGAACUUCUAUGCCACAUCCAGUACUAGGAACUUGCCAAGUUUGUGUCCUUAAAAUAAAGUGGGUUCCAAGAUAGACGGCAGAAAGUGGGAAAUGUGAUUUUUCUUGAUUGGGUAACUAAGAACCACACAGCAGGCAGGAGCCAUUUUGGGCCAAAGAGCUGUUCAUUUAAAGUGUUUAUUGACACCUGAAAAUAGGGAUUAAACUUCAAAUGCUAUUUUCACGUCAAGUUUAUGCUACAUAAUUUCAUAAUGGUGAUGAAAUCCAGGCAGAUACCGAAAGGAGAGUUCCCAAGUGAUCUUACUGCUGGGUUUCCCUAUUACAGACACUCAGGAUCCUGGACCAGCUGAAGCCAGGGGAGGAAGCAACCCGGCAGAUCACCUGCUGAUGGAAAGGAAGGCACCAUGGUAGUUAAGUGUUUCCAUGUUGGCUACCUGGUUUCUUUUCAGCCAGUCUCAGCUUUGACUGGUUUGUAUGACUGCCUCAAAUCUUCGGAGGUCACCCUUACGUUUUAUUUGGAAUGUGUUCCCGGCUCUAGAGGACUGAGUCAGGGAGAUUGCUCUGCAUUCUUACGGGGUUCCAUUUUGACCCUGCUCAUCCUCAGUAGACAUGGGAGCUAUUCCAAGCAUGGACUUGCAGGUUUGGGGACUGUGGACAGCAUACAAAUCAAGAGGUGAGGGACAGCCGAGGCAAAGUUCCUAACCAGAAUUUGCAGUAAGAACCAUCUCUGGUUUCUAUAUUUGACAACACAAUAAUGGGAUUCCCUGCAUUUCUCCCAGAAAAGCAUCAGUGGGGAAAAAACUUUGUUCUGGGAGGUGAAGUCAUCAUCAAAUACUAUGAAGGCCCAUCAGUGGACAUACUCAAGCUGUGGAGGGCUCUGAGCAUUUGUUGAAGACAGAUCUACCAACACACAGCAGCACAGAGGCAUCUCUGUGCCCAUCGGCCCACCCAGAGACCUCCCCAGCAUGGUAUGGUGGGGCAGCUGGUGUUGUGAAUCAGGCCGUUGCCAAUCAGAGAACGGCUACUUCACAACACCAGGGCCGCACCACACUACAGGCAGCAUUCCGGCUCCAGAACCAGCAAGGGCACCCACUGGUGAGGCAGCCACACCCCCGCCACAGAGGACCAUCGGCUCCAGAACCCAGGCAUGUGGCUUUCCGGGUCUGGGCUGGCUGCUGCAUCGCCCCUGCAGACACUGGCUUCCUGAGGCUGCUAUUUAGCCCCCAACACAAACGCUCCACUUUUAAAGAAAAGGCCACUCCUGGUAACAUUAGCUUCCUACAGAGAAAAUGGAGCUACCAGACUUCCCACUGUGAAAAUGAAGUUAUGGGCCAUCAGGAGGGUUCAGCGCCACUCAAUUGAACAUUUCCUCCUAGGUGCUGAAACACACAGUGGUUGCAGAGCUGGGACCUUUGUUUUGAUACUCGGUGAUGGUAGCUUUGAAUAGGCAAAAUAGAGGGAAGGGAGGACCUCGUAAUAGGAUAGGACGGUGGCCUUAGGAGCACUCCUGGAGAGAGGAAGGCUCUUUGUAGCCACAUAUACAGGUGAUGCAUCUAUUUCCUAGAUGGUCCCAGGGUCCCUGGAGAGCAAACACCUUUCUCAGCCAGGGAGAAUUCCACAGCUGUCCAUAAGUGCAUGUCCCAGUGACCUGAGGGCUGGACAAGAACCAAGCAUGGGACUGCUCCUAGGGCACUGAUCUGCCAGACACUCCAUCAGGGGUAAUACUUUCCAUUACUUGUGCUGACAGAUGGGCUUCCUUUCCCCAGGUCCUUAAAGCAUGGACCCAGCAGAGCUGGAAAACUAAUGAGGUCGCUGAGUUGGGGUAGCAUUUUGUGCCUAACUUAAAUCUUAUGUGUGACAUCACCAUUUUUCAGAGCCCAGGCCAGAGUUUUCAAGACGGAGUGGCUAGGUUGGCUAGUGUCGUUUUCAAAACACUAAUAAAAAGGAGAAUGUUCCUCUCUCUUGCUUUCUAUAGGACAGGGAUCCAGAGCCACUCUGAUUAACUUGGGCCCAGUCUGGGUAACCUCAGUGUUUGUAUAAGGUUCUUCCUGCUCUGAAAACCAAAAACAAGCAU
Cebus imitator (Panamanian white-faced capuchin) is the source of this 4744-nucleotide long non-coding RNA. RefSeq lists it as uncharacterized. The record is from RefSeq and is a predicted model, not a curated record. The transcript is spliced from 5 exons. Lineage: Eukaryota; Metazoa; Chordata; Mammalia; Primates; Cebidae.